AGAACGAACGCUGGCGGCAGGCUUAACACAUGCAAGUCGAACGCCCCCGCGAGGGGGAGUGGCAGACGGGUGAGUAACACGUGGGAACAUACCCUUUGGUUCGGAAAAACUUCGGGAAACUGAGGCUAAUACCGGAUACGCCCUCUUGGGGAAAGGCUUGCUGCCGAAGGAUUGGCCCGCGUUCGAUUAGCUAGUUGGUACGGUAAUGGCGUACCAAGGCGACGAUCGAUAGCUGGU
Molecule: ribosomal RNA, 237 nt
Filed under: uncultured bacterium
Lineage: Bacteria
Description: partial small subunit ribosomal RNA
Rfam family: Bacterial small subunit ribosomal RNA
Source: RNAcentral